Long non-coding RNA from Ictalurus punctatus (channel catfish), 1397 nucleotides. Lineage: Eukaryota; Metazoa; Chordata; Actinopteri; Siluriformes; Ictaluridae. The record is from Ensembl.
CUUGUAUAAUCCCAUUUUAUUAGUUUUGUGCUGUUUACAACAGGCAUUGAGACAUUGUAGACAAAUCUGCAUCUAUUCCUCUAAUGAUUAACUGAAAAUGACAUUAAUGAAAAGAAAAAAGAAAGAAGAAAGAUACUGAAUAGAGGAAGAAUGGUGUAAAAAUUGUGAAGGCAGGUUUACAACAUAGGUUCUUGAAUCAUAUAAGAAAUACAAGAGCAAUGAUCGAUGUUAAAGUUUGUUAAUGAGUAACAAACACAUGCUCUUAAGAUGUCAGGUGAUUAUCAGAUAUUUAAGUCAUUUCUGAACAAACAAAAGUGAUUUUAACAUUGUCCUUUUGACAUGUGGUCACAUGACAUCUUGUGGGCAGGGACUAUUUCAUUCCCACUCUGUAAAUGUAUUGUGAUUGAGAGGUGAGGUAGUUGUAGGAGGUUAAUGGGUAGGCUAUGAAGUAUAGUCUUCAGAAAACAGAACAUUUCUAAAUCCCAUUUCUACCAUGGUAAUGGGAGAGAAAAUACAGAUUGCCCAUUGGACGGUGACUCAGAUGGUGUUUGAACACAGGAGGUGUGUGAAAAAAGGUUGCUCUUUACAGAUAGAAUAUUAUACUUUAAUCGAGCCUUUCAAGGGUUUCAUGUGUCGUCUGUUUUAAUAUGAAUUUAAUAUCAUGUCAUAUGAUUAACUACAUGCAAUCUGUUUCUUUUUUUCUUUUUCUUUUUUAAACAAUCUGAUUAAGUAGUUUUAGUAAUGGCAGGAGAUCGGUUCAAGGAAUGGGUUCACCCUGUUUUAAUAGACUAGAGUAGUGGUUGUAGUUGUUGUAGGAGUGGUGGUACGAGUAGUUGGAGUAGUGGUUGGAGUAGUGGUUGGAGUAGGGGUUGGAGUAGUGGUUGGAGUAGGGGUUGGAGUGAUAAAACAUGACAUAAUUAUCUGAAUGAUAUCAUGAUUAGUUAAAUAUGGGUCACAUGUUAUUAGACGAGUAGUGGUUGGAGUAGUGGUUGGGGUAGUGGUUGGAGUGGUGGUUGGAGUGGUGGUUGGAGUGGUGGUUGGAGUGGUGGUUGGAGUGGUGGUUGGAUGGGAAACGCUUGUGGAUUGUGAAGACACUGAGAAGAGGAUAGUUAGUUAGACAGUUAGUAUUUUUCAUUCUGCUUAUUUACUGUAUUAUUUGCACUUUAAAUAAGUCAGUAUUUAUUCUUACCCUGUGUGAAUCCAGGGUUGAUUCUCAGGCCUUUUAUUUCAUUUCUGCUAUUGACGGCCUGCAGAAAUAGGUACUUGAUCACCAUGGCAUUGGUUUGGUCUGAGUAGAACAUGAUGGUGGCCUGAACAACCACAGAUCCAGCCUUGUCACUAGACAUGGAGCCAGAGAGAUAAUAAAUAACUCAAGUGAUAUUUAAUGUUGCAGAUGA